GACGAACGCUGGCGGCGUGCCUAAUACAUGCAAGUCGAGCGAAUUUAUGGGAGCUUGCUCCCGUAAAUUAGCGGCGGACGGGUGAGUAACACGUGGGCAAUCUACCUUCCAGUCUGGGAUAACCUUCCGAAAGGAGGGCUAAUACCGGAUGAUGUCCUGUUGGGGCAUCCUGAGGAGGAAAGCGGGGGACUGGUAACGGCCUCGCGCUGUUGGAGCGGCCGAUGUCGGAUUAGCUAGUGGUGGGGUAAAGGCCCACCAAGGCGACGAUCCGUAGCUGGUCUGAGAGGAUGAUCAGCCACACUGGAACUGAGACACGGUCCAGACUCCUACGGGAGGCAGCAGUGGGGAAUUUUGGACAAUGGGGGCAACCCUGAUCCAGCCAUUCCGCGUGAGUGAAGAAGG
This 402-nucleotide ribosomal RNA is filed under the name uncultured bacterium. Its description in RNAcentral is "bacterial SSU rRNA". It matches the Rfam family "Bacterial small subunit ribosomal RNA", at positions 28 to 414 of the family's 1533-position model. The record is from RNAcentral.